This 470-nucleotide ribosomal RNA is filed under the name Flavobacterium sp. WB2.4-7. RNAcentral describes it as "bacterial SSU rRNA". It matches the Rfam family "Bacterial small subunit ribosomal RNA", at positions 13 to 484 of the family's 1533-position model. Lineage: Bacteria; Pseudomonadati; Bacteroidota; Flavobacteriia; Flavobacteriales; Flavobacteriaceae. The record is from RNAcentral.
UUGAUCCUGGCUCAGGAUGAACGCUAGCGGCAGGCUUAACACAUGCAAGUCGAGGGGUAUGGUUCUUCGGAACCAGAGACCGGCGCACGGGUGCGUAACGCGUAUGCAAUCUACCUUUUACAGAGGGAUAGCCCAGAGAAAUUUGGAUUAAUACCUCAUAGUAUAGCAGCUUCGCAUGAAGCCACUAUUAAAGUCACAACGGUAAAAGAUGAGCAUGCGUCCCAUUAGCUAGUUGGUAAGGUAACGGCUUACCAAGGCUACGAUGGGUAGGGGUCCUGAGAGGGAGAUCCCCCACACUGGUACUGAGACACGGACCAGACUCCUACGGGAGGCAGCAGUGAGGAAUAUUGGACAAUGGGCGCAAGCCUGAUCCAGCCAUGCCGCGUGCAGGAUGACGGUCCUAUGGAUUGUAAACUGCUUUUAUACGAGAAGAAACACUCCUUCGUGAAGGAGCUUGACGGUAUCGUAAG